CCCCCCUUUACUUCAAAUCACAGUUUGUACUUCCACACUUGCACAGUCUGCAUGUGUAGGUGCCACGGGAAGUGAAAACAGAAAACAGACAUUUCGUGAAAUCAUCAAAAUAAUCCAAAGAUGUGCAUUGUGGGUUUCUCUUUGACACAUAAAUGAUGUUGUCAUUCUAGCAACAGCCCAUGAACAUGACAUGAAUGUAUUGCGCCCAAAGGAGUGAAAGAAAGCCAGCGAAACCUGUUAAUGUUUUGGCAACCUACAAGACUGUGUUGCUGGGGUUACAAACCAACCUCACAGUUUAUGUUUCUCUCAGCAAAGCAAAACAUUGCUCCAAAAUACCCCACACCACUUUGCUAUUCUUCAAAGACGAAACAACACCAGAGACGUAUUGGCUGCCACGGCAACACAUAUCCUUGUAGAGAAAAUAUAGAUGUGCACCAGGAUAUGCUGUUUAAAAAGCACUGAAGCCAAAGAUAUUGACGCCAGUGUCCUUAGCCCAGUGGCCUUAGCCCAGUAGCCUUAGCCCAGUGGCCUUAGCCCUGUCAUAGUGAUUUUCAGAGGCAUCCACCACCCUUGUCAAUUGAGCAGAAAUGAUCAGCCUGGAGAGGCAUGCUAGCUGAUUAAAACCAAUUGUCAGGGAAGGGAAGGACAAGGCAACCUCUUUACUGCAUGAUGAACUAACUACAUGGAAGCAGACAAUCUCCCCCCUCAGGGAAAUCACUCCAGGUCUUAAUUAAAGCAUUGUGUUUUCGCUCAGCUUUCUGUAUUAUCACCACGUGUACGUACUUGAGAGAAGAAUAAGGACGUUACCAGGAAACCAAGACAUCAGAUGAAGAGAGAUGACAGCAGAGGACCGGCCCUGUUGUCUGUCAAUGUAGGAUAAUAGAGAGGUGAAAUGUUUAGUACACAUUCAGUAACUAAAACUGAAUAAUGUUCUCCAAAUGUGAUAAUUGUGUCACUGCUCACUCCCUCCUACUAGAAUAUGUUCACAGGUUGUAACAAUUGAUCCUCCGUCACAAUAGAAUAUGUUCACAGAUUGUAAC
Long non-coding RNA from Oncorhynchus tshawytscha (Chinook salmon), 1040 nucleotides. The record is from Ensembl. Lineage: Eukaryota; Metazoa; Chordata; Actinopteri; Salmoniformes; Salmonidae.